AACGAACGCUGGCGGCAUGCCUAACACAUGCAAGUCGCACGAGAAAGUCUUCGGAUGAGUAAAGUGGCGCACGGGUGAGUAAUACAUAGGAACGUGCCUUUAGGUGGGGGAUAACAGCGGGAAACCGUUGCUAAUACCGCAUGGCCUCGCAAGAGUACAGAUGACCUCUAUUUAUAAGUUAUCGCCAAAAGAGCGGCCUAUGUCCCAUUAGCUAGUUGGUAAGGUAAUGGCUUACCAAGGCAACGAUGGGUAACUGGUCUGAGAGGAUGGUCAGUCACACUGGAACUGAGACACGGUCCAGACUCCUACGGGAGGCAGCAGUGGGGAAUAUUGCACAAUGGGCGCAAGCCUGAUGCAGCAAUGCCGCGUGAGUGAAGACGGCCUUCGGGUUGUAAAGCUCUUUCGACAGGGGUAAAGGUUUAUGCAGUGAACAAUUGCAUAGAUUGAUAGUACUUGAAGAAGAAGCACCGG
This 471-nucleotide ribosomal RNA is filed under the name uncultured bacterium. Its description in RNAcentral is "partial 16S ribosomal RNA". It matches the Rfam family "Bacterial small subunit ribosomal RNA", at positions 29 to 496 of the family's 1533-position model. The record is from RNAcentral.